Molecule: ribosomal RNA, 446 nt
Filed under: uncultured bacterium
Lineage: Bacteria
Description: partial 16S ribosomal RNA
Rfam family: Bacterial small subunit ribosomal RNA
Source: RNAcentral
CCUACGGGAGGCAGCAGUCGAGAAUCAUUCACAAUGGGGGAAACCCUGAUGGUGCGACGCCGCGUGGGGGAAUGAAGGUCUUCGGAUUGUAAACCCCUGUCAUGUGGGAGCAAAUUAAAAAGAUAGUACCACAAGAGGAAGAGACGGCUAACUCUGUGCCAGCAGCCGCGGUAAUACAGAGGUCUCAAGCGUUGUUCGGAAUCACUGGUCGGAAAGCGUGCGUAGGCUGUUUCGUAAGUCGUGUGUGAAAGGCGCGGGCUCAACCCGCGGACGGCACAUGAUACUGCGAGACUAGAGUAAUGGAGGGGGAACCGGAAUGCUCGGUGUAGCAGUGAAAUGCGUAGAUAUCGAGAGGAACACUCGUGGCGAAGGCGGGUUCCUGGACAUUAACUGACGCUGAGGCACGAAGGCCAGGGGAGCGAAAGGGAUUAGAUACCCGGGUAGUC